RNAcentral lists this ribosomal RNA (253 nucleotides) under uncultured bacterium. RNAcentral describes it as "partial 16S ribosomal RNA". It matches the Rfam family "Bacterial small subunit ribosomal RNA", at positions 524 to 776 of the family's 1533-position model. The record is from RNAcentral.
UACAGAGGGGGCAAGCGUUGUUCGGAAUUACUGGGCGUAAAGGGCGCGUAGGCGGCCUGUUAAGUCGAACGUGAAAUCCCCGGGCUCAACCCGGGAACUGCGUCCGAUACUGGCAGGCUUGAAUUCGGGAGAGGGAUGCGGAAUUCCAGGUGUAGCGGUGAAAUGCGUAGAUAUCGAGAGGAACACCUGCGGCGAAGGCGGGUUGCUGGGCUGACACUGACGCUGAGGCGCGAAAGCUAGGGGAGCGAACGGG